RNAcentral lists this ribosomal RNA (494 nucleotides) under uncultured bacterium. RNAcentral's name for it is "partial 16S ribosomal RNA". It matches the Rfam family "Bacterial small subunit ribosomal RNA", at positions 28 to 507 of the family's 1533-position model. The record is from RNAcentral.
GACGAACGCUGGCGGCGUGCUUAACACAUGCAAGUCGAACGGAAAGGCCUGCUUUCCCUUGUGGAUUGCGGGUACUCGCGUGGCGAACGGGUGAGUAACACGUGAGUGAUCUGCCCCCAACUUGGGUAUAAGCCUGGGAAACUGGGUCUAAUUCCCGAUAGGACUGCAGGGUGGUGCCUGUGGUGGAAAACGAUUUUCUAGUGGUUGGGGAUGAGCUCGCGGCCUAUCAGCUUGUUGGUGGGGUAAUGGCCUACCAAGGCGGCGACGGGUAGCCGGCCUGGGAGGGUGGACGGCCACAUUGGGACUGAGAUACGGCCCAGACUCCUACGGGAGGCAGCAGUGGGGAAUAAUGCACAAUGGGCGGAAGCCUGAUGCAGCGACGCCGAGUGGGGGAUGACGGCCUUCGGGUUGUAAACUCCUUUCGACCGCGAGGAAGCCACCUGGUUGGAAGGGUGGUGACGGUAGUGGUAGAAGAAGCACCGGCUAACUACGUG